AGAUCGAACUAUAGAGUUUGAUCCUGGCUCAGAUUGAACGCUGGCGGCAUGCUUUACACAUGCAAGUCGAACGGUAACAGGUCUUUCGGGAUGCUGACGAGUGGCGAACGGGUGAGUAAUGUAUCGGAACGUGCCCAGUAGUGGGGGAUAACUACUCGAAAGAGUGGCUAAUACCGCAUGAGAUCUCUGGAUGAAAGC
This 198-nucleotide ribosomal RNA is filed under the name Cellvibrionales bacterium. RNAcentral describes it as "partial 16S ribosomal RNA". It matches the Rfam family "Bacterial small subunit ribosomal RNA", at positions 1 to 207 of the family's 1533-position model. Lineage: Bacteria; Pseudomonadati; Pseudomonadota; Gammaproteobacteria; Cellvibrionales. The record is from RNAcentral.